This 253-nucleotide ribosomal RNA is filed under the name uncultured bacterium. RNAcentral describes it as "partial 16S ribosomal RNA". It matches the Rfam family "Bacterial small subunit ribosomal RNA", at positions 524 to 776 of the family's 1533-position model. The record is from RNAcentral.
UACAGAGACUGCAAGCGUUAUUCGGAUUCACUGGGCGUAAAGGGUGCGCAGGCGGCCAAGUGUGUGAGGCGUGAAAGCCCGGGGCUUAACCCCGGAAUUGCACCUCAAACUACAUGGCUAGAGCAUUGGAGAGGGUAGCAGAAUUCAUGGUGUAGCAGUGAAAUGCGUAGAUAUCAUGAGGAAUACCAGAGGCGAAGGCGGCUAUCUGGACAAUUGCUGACGCUCAGGCACGAAAGCGUGGGGAGCAAAAGGG